RNAcentral lists this long non-coding RNA (568 nucleotides) under Dasypus novemcinctus (nine-banded armadillo). RNAcentral's name for it is "lncRNA (ENSDNOG00000052356.1)". Lineage: Eukaryota; Metazoa; Chordata; Mammalia; Cingulata; Dasypodidae. The record is from RNAcentral.
CGCCCACUCCCAGCAGCCUACCCAAACCCGUGCCAGAGCAGGUGCCCUGCUGGGGCCGUCCCUUCCCACCAUCUCUCUAGGUCCUAUUCUCCUCUCAGCAGAUGAGCCGACCUCCCCAAAGAAGCCGAAGAGUGUCCUGAGCCGGAGUCCAGUGGUGUGGAAUGUGACGCCACCUCUCCCCUGCCCUCCGAGUGGACCUCGGUGAGGAUCAGCCCUGGGGAGGACGCGCUCGGGCAGGACGUGCUCGCCGUGCGUGUCCUGGUCACCAGCGAUGACAGCAGCUCCGAAACAGAGUCUGACUGUGGCGGUGAGACCCCCAGUGCGGAGCCCUGUGAGGCGAGACCCCGGCGGCCAGAACCCCCCACCCUGCCGCAGUCCCCCACCCGGGACUCCUCGAGGGAGGCGGUCUCUCCACAGGGCCCGGAGCAGUCCAGCGAGCAAGGUGAGCGGAGAGCCUGCCUGGGUGGGACGCAGGCUUCCCUGAUCCGGGCGCAGUGGGGGGGGGGGAGCAGAGACCCCCCACCUGAAGGCCCAGCCCUGUGGGCAGCUUUCCCUCAUGGAGGCCCGU